UCGAGAAUCUUCCGCAAUGGACGCAAGUCUGACGGAGCGACGCCGCGUGCGGGAUGAAGGUCUUUGGAUUGUAAACCGCUGUCAAGUGUUAUGAAUGCGCGACGGUUAAUACCCGGCGCGUUGACAAAGGCACUAAAGGAAGCCACGGCUAACUCUGUGCCAGCAGCCGCGGUAAUACAGAGGUGGCAAGCGUUGCUCGGUAUCACUGGGCUUAAAGGGCGCGUAGGCGGCGAGGUACGGUUCGGGUGAAAUCCCUCGGCUCAACCGAGGAACUGCCCGGGCUACGGCCUCGCUUGACAGCAUCAGGGGAAGGUGGAACUCCAGGUGGAGCGGUGAAAUGUGUAGAUAUCUGGAGGAACGCCGGUGGCGAAAGCGACCUUCUGGGGUGCUUGUGACGCUGAGGCGCGAAAGCUAGGGGAGCGAACGGGAUUAGAUACCCCUGUAGUCC
Molecule: ribosomal RNA, 448 nt
Filed under: uncultured prokaryote
Description: bacterial SSU rRNA
Rfam family: Bacterial small subunit ribosomal RNA
Source: RNAcentral